Molecule: ribosomal RNA, 253 nt
Filed under: uncultured bacterium
Lineage: Bacteria
Description: partial 16S ribosomal RNA
Rfam family: Bacterial small subunit ribosomal RNA
Source: RNAcentral
UACGGGGGGGGUAAGCGUUGUUCGGAAUUACUGGGCGUAAAGGGCUCGUAGGCGGCCAACUAAGCCAUACGUGAAAUCCCUCAGCUUAACUGGGGAACUGCGUGUGAUACUGGAUGGCUUGGAUUUGGGAGAGGGAUGCGGAAUUCCAGGUGUAGCGGUGAAAUGCGUAGAUAUCUGGAGGAACACCGGUGGCGAAGGCGGCAUCCUGGACCAAUAUUGACGCUGAGGAGCGAAAGCCAGGGGAGCAAACGGG